Molecule: unclassified non-coding RNA, 273 nt
Filed under: Acaulospora lacunosa
Lineage: Eukaryota; Fungi; Glomeromycota; Glomeromycetes; Diversisporales; Acaulosporaceae
Description: partial contains 5.8S ribosomal RNA and internal transcribed spacer 2
Rfam family: 5.8S ribosomal RNA (bases 1-71)
Source: RNAcentral
GUGAAUCAUCAAAUCUUUGAACGCAUAUUGCGCUCUCUGGUAUUCCGGGGAGUAUGCUUGCUUGAGGGUUAGUUUGUUACAAUCGUAAAAAGAAAUUUUUACGGAUCUGGAUUUUCCAAAAGUUAUAUUUUUGGUAAUCUAAAAUUUAUCAUAUAAAUAGGUGAUAUUGGACAUGUUUAUUUUUGAUUCAUUAAUAAUUAUUACCUAAUUUGUUUCGUAGUGUUAUUUUCCUAAUUUCUUAAUUAGGUAUAUUAAUAUAAUUUUUUUUUUUAA